AUGGCUGAUGAGGAUGAGUACCGAUGCUUCGUUGGGAACCUGUCCUGGUCCACAACUGAUGAAAGCCUCAAGGAUGCAUUCUCAAAAUACGGCAAAGUUACCGAGGCAAAGGUGGUCAUGGACAAGUUUUCUGGACGUUCACGUGGAUUUGCCUUUGUGACCUUUGAUGAGAAGAAAGCCAUGGAAGAAGCUAUCGAGGACAUGAAUGGAUUGGACUUGGAAGGGAGGGCCAUCACUGUUGAUAAAGCUCAGCCUCAAGGGGCUGGUAGAGAUCGUAACGGUGACCGUGAUUUUGAUCGUGACCGUGGGUCUCGUGGUGGCCGUGACUAUGGCGGUGGUCGUGCGGCGCGUGGUAGUGGUGGGGACUGCUUCAAGUGUGGCAAACCUGGACACUUUGCUAGAGAGUGCCCAGAUGGUGAUGGCGGGAGAGGUGACCGAUAUGGUGGCAGAGAUGAUAGGUAUGGUGGUGGUAGAUCUGACCGUGACCGUUCUGACCGUGGCGGCGAUCGUUCUGACCGUGACCGUUCUGACCGUGGCGGCGACCGUUCUGAUCGUGACGGUGAUCGAUCUGAGCGUGGCAGUGACCGAUAUUCUAGCCGUAGCCGAGAUGGUGGAAGCGGGGGUGACCGUUACAGUCGUGACCGAUCAGGUCCCUACUGA
This 660-nucleotide ribosomal RNA is filed under the name Triticum aestivum (bread wheat). RNAcentral's name for it is "partial small subunit ribosomal RNA". Lineage: Eukaryota; Viridiplantae; Streptophyta; Magnoliopsida; Poales; Poaceae. The record is from RNAcentral.